Molecule: unclassified non-coding RNA, 1697 nt
Filed under: Drosophila mojavensis
Lineage: Eukaryota; Metazoa; Arthropoda; Insecta; Diptera; Drosophilidae
Description: GI13569
Source: RNAcentral
GAACUUAUUUAAAUGCAGAUGUCGGCCAUAUAGCGAAUCACUCUGAUUGCUGUCGCUGUGCUAUAUACACGUCCUUUCAACUUAAUCUUCUGCCAAAAUGUGUGACGAGGAGGCAUCAGCUCUGGUCGUGGACAAUGGAUCCGGCAUGUGCAAGGCUGGCUUCGCCGGCGACGAUGCGCCACGCGCUGUCUUCCCAUCGAUUGUGGGCCGUCCUCGCCAUCAGGGCGUGAUGGUGGGCAUGGGUCAGAAGGAUUGCUAUGUGGGCGAUGAGGCGCAGAGCAAGCGUGGUAUUCUCUCGCUCAAGUAUCCCAUCGAGCAUGGCAUCAUCACCAACUGGGACGACAUGGAGAAGGUCUGGCAUCACACCUUCUACAAUGAGCUGCGCGUGGCUCCCGAGGAGCAUCCCGUCCUGCUCACCGAGGCCCCACUCAAUCCAAAGGCCAAUCGCGAGAAGAUGACACAGAUCAUGUUCGAGACCUUCAACUCCCCAGCCAUGUACGUGGCCAUCCAGGCGGUGCUCUCGCUCUAUGCCUCCGGCCGUACCACUGGCAUUGUUCUCGAUUCCGGCGACGGUGUUUCCCACACUGUGCCCAUCUAUGAGGGCUACGCCCUGCCACAUGCCAUCCUCCGUCUGGAUCUGGCCGGUCGCGACUUGACCGACUACCUGAUGAAGAUCCUCACCGAGCGCGGCUACUCGUUCACCACCACCGCUGAGCGUGAAAUCGUGCGCGACAUCAAGGAGAAGCUGUGCUACGUGGCUCUCGACUUUGAGCAGGAAAUGGCCACAGCCGCCGCCUCCACCUCGCUGGAGAAGUCCUACGAGCUGCCCGAUGGCCAGGUCAUCACCAUUGGCAACGAGCGCUUCCGCACACCCGAGGCUCUCUUCCAGCCCUCGUUCCUGGGCAUGGAGUCGUGUGGCAUUCACGAAACCGUCUACCAGUCGAUCAUGAAGUGCGACGUGGACAUCCGCAAGGACUUGUAUGCCAACAAUGUGCUGUCCGGCGGCACCACCAUGUAUCCUGGUAUCGCUGAUCGCAUGCAAAAGGAAAUCACCGCCCUCGCUCCGUCCACCAUUAAGAUCAAGAUCAUUGCACCACCUGAGCGCAAAUACUCUGUGUGGAUCGGUGGCUCCAUUCUGGCCUCUCUGUCCACCUUCCAGCAGAUGUGGAUCUCCAAGCAGGAGUACGAUGAGUCUGGUCCCGGCAUUGUGCAUCGCAAGUGCUUCUAAGCAGCGAAUGCAUAACAACAACAAUAGCAGCAGCAACCAACAACAACAACAACAUCAAACAGCAAGAAAAACAACAACAACUAGAGACACCAACAACAACAAGAACAAGUGGCGUUUAUAUAUAGCCUAUAUGAGAAGAUCUGACACGCAUAUCUUAUAUCUGACAUUGGGUAUAUGUUUAGCUAUGGCCAGGCUAGCUGCAUCUGGGCGCCCAAGCGGCGCUGCAUGCACAAAACAACAACAACAACAACAACAAACACAAAAAGUAUCUUCAAAAUUACAUUUAGUUGAAAAGAGGCGGAGGAAGUAGUAGAAGCAAACAUAGAGGACAAGAGACACCCCCACAUGAAAAGAGAAAAGAAAACAAACAGAAAAGACAAGCAAAAAUCGAUUACGGAGCUGACAAAAAAAAAGAGCACAAAAGAACUCAAUAAAGAAAAGACAAUCGGAUGUACAAUGAAACAAGGUA